CUUGAACCCAGGAGGUGGAGGGUGCAGCGAGCUGAGAUUGCGCCACUGCACUCCAGCCUGGGUGACAGAGCAAGACUCUGUCUCAAAUAAAUACAAAUAAAUAAAUAAAUAAAUAUUUAUUUGUUUAUUACUGGGAUAUGAUUAGGAAACCAAAUGUGUUACAUUUUUAACAUUGUAUAGUGACAUAGAACACACAUAUAGUAAGACACGUAAAGAUUAAAUGUACAACUUAAUCAAUCAUUACAAUGCCAACAUCCAUGAACCCACCACCCAAAUCAAGAAACAGCAUGAGGCCAGCACCAGAAGCUCUCCCGUGCCUCCUCCUGUCCACAUUACUCUCCCUUCCCACCAAGACAACUCACCAUCAGACUUUCAUAGCAAUCCCUUCAUUGCUUCUCAAUACACCUUCAAAAUCUAAUAUUUAUUCCUAAACAUGCUUAGUAACAUUAUACAAAUUAAACUAUACAGUAUGUUCUCUUUUGUGCCUCUUUUGUGAUCUAAUAAUUGUCAAUUUAGUGACCCAGAAAGUAUCAGCCUGUCAAUAAAUGCUGCUGAAUCAGUUGUAUAUCCUUACUGAAAAAAAAAAGAAAGAAAUUUGACACCUAUCUCACUUUAUACACAAAAUUAAUUCCAGUAGAAAACAUAUCUAUCUAUAAAAAUCAAUACAAUAAAACUUCUAGAAGCCGAUAUUAGAGAAUAUCUUCCUAACCUUGAAAUAGAAAAAGAUUUUUAAAAUAGAAUCCAAAAUUCAGAAUCAUAAAAAAAUGUUCAUCAGUGGUCACAAAUAUAAUGUAUCUAAAAUAGGGACAGUAAGAAAUUACUGGGCAUAACUAGAAGGUGCCAUGGGAUGUGCCUGGAAAGCUUCUCAUGACGACCUACCAUGAGCCUAUCACACUCGUGCUAGAAGCCUCUCACCAGGGGCUUCAGUGUUUGUGGUUAGGAAAAGAGAAAUAAGAACAACAGCAGAAUGCACCGUCAGGUACUUUGGAAGUCACAGAAGGGAAAAGGGCAGGAAAAUCGGAAAUAUCGGCACACAUGUUAAUGAAUGUUUGUUGUAGUUAAAUUGAAGUUGAAGGAGAGGACGGAGUGAAGGACACUGGAAGCGGGGGCUCCAGGAAUAGUCCUGUGAUUCGGCUGGUAUUUCUUGUGUAUAAUUCCAGUUCUUGUCAAACUUUUUGGUCACUAAACUGUUCCUUUCUAUAUGUUAAGGCAGGUUUCACCUCCUUUCUGACUUUAGAAUAAGUUGGUAGAGGGCUUCACAGAGUGAAAAAUACCCAUCGUCUAAAACAUGCACAUACUUCUAUAAGAAGCACAAAGUAUAACUGAUGAUAUUCAAAGAGCAAAUGCUUAUUGGACGUCUACCAUUUCAAAGAGUGUGGUAGGAGCUAAGGUUCCAGGAUGAGGAUCUCAUGAAGAUCAAUAUCUAUCAGGAAAAAAAGACACAUAUACAACAUACACUCCAUACACCAGAAACUUUGUGCACUAUUCUCUCCUCAGUUCCUAGAAAAAUGCCUGGUUCAAAAUAGAUAGUUA
This 1533-nucleotide long non-coding RNA is filed under the name Homo sapiens (human). Its description in RNAcentral is "HSALNT0104867". The record is from RNAcentral. Lineage: Eukaryota; Metazoa; Chordata; Mammalia; Primates; Hominidae.